GCAGGCUCAGUUCGCGCAGGACAACAACCCCGACGCGCAGACGCUGCAGAAGCUAGCGGACAUGACGGGCCUCAGUCGCAGGGUCAUCCAGGUGGGGAUCCGGGGUCUCAGCCUUCAGGUCUGGGGCGGACCUCAGGGAAGUGCUGAAAUUCGUAGUGGUGCGGAUGGUCGCGGUUGUACGUGGCCACCCCUCUCCAGUGUGGCCUGAGGUCCUCAGUUGGCACGGGUUGAUCCUUUUCCUUGAUUACUGAGAGUGCAGAGACUGUCGUUCCAGGUGUGGUUUCAAAACUGCCGAGCGCGUCAUAAAAAGCAUACACCGCAGCACCCAGUGCCGCCCUCUGGGGCACCCCCGUCCCGCCUCCCCUCCUCCCUGUCCGACGACAUCCACUA
This 390-nucleotide long non-coding RNA is filed under the name Rattus norvegicus (Norway rat). RNAcentral describes it as "long non-coding RNA NONRATT019239". Lineage: Eukaryota; Metazoa; Chordata; Mammalia; Rodentia; Muridae. The record is from RNAcentral.